UGCUGCCAAUACUGACGCUUCUACUG
RNAcentral lists this non-coding RNA (26 nucleotides) under Rattus norvegicus (Norway rat). Lineage: Eukaryota; Metazoa; Chordata; Mammalia; Rodentia; Muridae. The record is from RNAcentral.